UAGUCCAUGCCGUCAACUAUGAGAGCUCAUCUUAGAAAAACUGAGAUUUAGUUAACACGUUAAGCUCUUCGCCAGGGAAGUACGAUUGCAAGGUUAAAACUCAAAGGAAUUGACGGGAAUCCAUACAAACGGUGGAGCAUGUGGUUUAAUUCGAUACAACGCGUAAAAUCUUACCAGACUUUGUAUAAAUUUACUAUGAAUUUACAAGAUUGCAUGGCUGUCGUCAGUCCGUGUUGUGAAAUGUUGGGUUAAGUCUCGCAACGAGCGCAACCCCUAUCUUUAGUUGCCAGCAUUAAGUUGGGCACUCUAGAGAGACUGCCCGGGUUAACCGGGAGGAAGGUGGGGAUGACGUCAAGUCCUCAUGGCCCUUAUGUCUUGGGCUACACACGUAAUACAAUGGUUGAUACAAAGGGAAGCGACCCGGCGACGGUAAGCAAAUCUCAAAAAGUCAACCUCAGUUCGGAUUGGAGUCUGCAACUCGACUCCAUGAAGUUGGAAUCGCUAGUAAUCGCGGAUC
RNAcentral lists this ribosomal RNA (517 nucleotides) under uncultured bacterium. RNAcentral describes it as "bacterial SSU rRNA". It matches the Rfam family "Bacterial small subunit ribosomal RNA", at positions 791 to 1350 of the family's 1533-position model. The record is from RNAcentral.